Gadus macrocephalus (Pacific cod) is the source of this 2153-nucleotide long non-coding RNA. RefSeq lists it as uncharacterized. The record is from RefSeq and is a predicted model, not a curated record. The transcript is spliced from 3 exons. NCBI's taxonomy places the organism in Eukaryota, Metazoa, Chordata, Actinopteri, Gadiformes, Gadidae.
GAAUUCUGUUAACUGAGAUCCAUGACGUCGCGCCUCGACCGCGUUGGGGGAGAAUGACGCACCUGGUGUAAAGCGCAGAUUGUGAUCGUCAUCGUCACGACGACAGCGGACUCCACACAAAAAGUCAGUUGAAACCCAGAACCACAGCGCGACGUCUAGACGGGAUGCGAACCACGCCCUGCGGGUCUUCUGUCAGCCUGGAUUAUGUACCAUACAUAGCAAACAACUGAACAAAUACAUCGCCAUAUAAUUAGAAUAAUACGGCAGUAUAAAGCACCGUAAGAGUUAAUAUUAGAUUAAUACCAUAACCAUUGCAUAGCCCAUGUUUAACGUUUUUCCUUUUUAGCAUUUAUUCCACCACUUGUUUCAUAUUUGCUGACGACAUGACUUCUGGUGAGUUUGGAAACAUACAUUUUUGUAAUAAAUUAUGUGUAAACGGAACUAGUUGAUGCGUCUUCUUUGUAUCAUUUGUUGAAUUCAAAUAUGCAUGCGUCAUACCACCUGGACACUAGAGCAGCAGCGACACCAAACAAAUAAAAACAUGUCACUAUUUUAAAAUUGGGGUCUGGGGUGGGGGAAUGGAUGAUUAUGAUGAUCUUUAGUUUUCAAGCAACUUGAUUAAACAAGACAAGGCAAUUAGGUUCAGGCUCAGACAGAGAGGGACUGUGGUCCUAAAGGUUUACUAGAGUUUGUUGUUGUUUGGGAACGCAUUUUCUCCUCCUCCUCUUCCUCAUCAUCUUCCUCAUCCUCCUCUUCCUCAUCAACUUCCUCUUCCUCUUCUUCCGCCGGCUGGCGUCUGUCUCAGUGUUUCAACAGAGACGCUUACUGACUACACAGCUCACAGGAAGUCAGAGAUGGGAAAUAAGUUUCGGUAAUAGUAAGGGGACCAAUUCUGACCGAGCGCUAUCCCAUCGUACUCAGCCUGCAGCCCUAUUCGAGCUGCGAUGUCAACGUCAAGGGCAAGAACAGACACAGGGCAGAGUAAAAUAUCAUAAUGACAAUCUCUAUUGACAUCCAUUCUAUUCCGAAUGAGUGUUUUAGAAGCUCUCAUUGUCGUGUCUUUGAUUCGUCAAUCGCAUGUCGCUGUGUAUGAACCGCCCAGGCUAGAGAGGUAUCUCCAUGAGUGCCCACAGACACAUAAUCACACGUUUAGGUCCUGUGUUCACGCUCCACUGUGCCAGCUUGCCAGUCUGAAGAGAUGGAGGUGAUCGGUUAGAAUCGGGGUGAAGAUGUUGGCUGCGUUUUAGGUAGUGGGACUAUUGUCAAUUCUGUGUUGGAGUUUGUGUGUUUUAACAGAUUAGAACGCACUCACUUCUGAAUCCAAAUGAAUUUCUGGGUUCCUGGUUGCAUGAAUGUAAUAACGAGGUUGACUGAACACUAACUUCCCUCUUUUCCCUCUGGGCCAUGAGUCUACUUAGUAACUAAAGCUGUAGCAUUACAAAUUAACAGUUAGAUGCAAAGUUCACCAACGUGCUCCUGACAUUCAACAUUAAAGACUUUGACCUGCUUGCCGCUCAGUCUCAGCGUCUGUUCCUGCCCAGGGGCAUUUACACACAGAAUGUUAACUUGUGAAUAGGUUUGUCUGUGGGCACUCUUGGAGCUAGACGCCAGGGCAGUUCAUAGGAGCUUAUGUAUGUUGAACGAAACCAGACUACAGCUGGGAGAACUGUUAAACCCACAUUUAGAAUAGAAUGGGUGUCACCAUCUGCCCAAUGUUUGGAUACACCUACAAGAGGAGAGGGGGAUUAAACAAAACCAUGGAUGUUUUACUUCUGGACAAGGACCAUAUCACGAAUUAACCUUAAUAUCUAACUGUUUGAUCUAACAACGGUCCAAUAAACGUAACAAUAAUAACUAACUGACUCACUGUGGUCAUAAAAGAUCCCAGGACACUUAUCGCAAAGAGUAGGGGUUUCCCCGGUGUCCUGGCCCAACCAGGCUCAUUCAAUCUGGCCUCCUAAUAAUCCUCCUGUACAAUUGGCUGACUUAUCAAUUCCCUCACUCUCCACCUCAAGCUGGUGUGUGGUGAGCGUUCUGGCGCAGAUUGGCUGCCGUGCAUCACCCAAGUGGGUGCUACACACUGGUGGUGGUGAGUUAGGUCCCCCCCUUCUGUAAGCGUCUUUGGGUCAUUGAAAAGCGCUAUAUAAAUAUAA